Molecule: non-coding RNA, 162 nt
Filed under: uncultured Schaedlerella sp.
Lineage: Bacteria; Bacillati; Bacillota; Clostridia; Lachnospirales; Lachnospiraceae
Description: Lysine riboswitch
Rfam family: Lysine riboswitch aptamer
About the family: Riboswitches are metabolite binding domains within certain messenger RNAs that serve as precision sensors for their corresponding targets.
Source: RNAcentral
AGAUAGAGGUGCGGGCUUCAUCAGUAUCACAUCGCUUUAGACCGGAACAGGUGAUGUGAGAAAGGGGAGACUGCCGAAGAAGUCGGAUGCAUCCGGGGCAGAAGAUUUCUGGGGCGCAGCAGAAUAUGCUGCGGACUGUCACAUCAGUGGAGCGCUAUCAGA